GAUGAACGCUAGCGGCAGGCUUAACACAUGCAAGUCGAGGGGUAACAGGGGUUGCUUGCAAUCCGCUGACGACCGGCGCACGGGUGCGUAACGCGUAUACAAUCUGCCUUGUACUGAGGGAUAGCCUUUGGAAACGAAGAUUAAUACCUCAUGGUAUAUAUGAAUGGCAUCAUUUAUAUAUUAAAGGUUACGGUACAAGAUGAGUAUGCGUCCUAUUAGCUAGAUGGUGUGGUAACGGCACACCAUGGCAACGAUAGGUAGGGGCCCUGAGAGGGGGAUCCCCCACACUGGUACUGAGACACGGACCAGACUCCUACGGGAGGCAGCAGUGAGGAAUAUUGGGCAAUGGAGGCAACUCUGACCCAGCCAUGCCGCGUGCAGGAAGACUGCCCCUAUGGGUUUGUAAACUGCUUUUAUACAGGAAGAAACACUCCCACGUGUGGGGCUUGACGGUACUGUAAGAUAAGGAUCGG
Molecule: ribosomal RNA, 473 nt
Filed under: uncultured bacterium
Lineage: Bacteria
Description: bacterial SSU rRNA
Rfam family: Bacterial small subunit ribosomal RNA
Source: RNAcentral